UGGGGAUCAAAGUAAGUCCGGACUAGUAGAUGCUCGAGCCGCAAAUAUCUUUCUGGUUGCUCCUGUUUCAUGACACCCAUCACGUUGGUUUGCCUUAAAAUAGCUCGUGCAGUAUCCAUCUCUCGAAGUUCAAUCAUUUCUAAGACAAUCUGCUCAUAUAAAUCCUCCAGUAUCUUUCUAGGAAGCUUAAGUUGUGCAACUUGAGGUAGUACAGCAUCCCAUCUUCCACUAUUAAUAUCAGCUAUAAAAGUUUCAAGGCUAUCCACAGUAUUAAGAGAAACCUGGCACUCAUUUUGCAAUGUCUGGAAAGAUUGAUGCAGAGAGUUCUCCUUGCAGAAUUGAAGAACUAUCUUAAUGACAUCUCGAGCUUCGAUUUCCAGUGUAGAAGACAUUUGCUAAGAAUGAGAAUGCUUAUAAUCCCUAGCUAAGCCCUGCUUUUGAGAGUAAAA
This 449-nucleotide unclassified non-coding RNA is filed under the name Hevea brasiliensis (rubber tree). Lineage: Eukaryota; Viridiplantae; Streptophyta; Magnoliopsida; Malpighiales; Euphorbiaceae. The record is from RNAcentral.